Molecule: ribosomal RNA, 234 nt
Filed under: uncultured bacterium
Lineage: Bacteria
Description: partial 16S ribosomal RNA
Rfam family: Bacterial small subunit ribosomal RNA
Source: RNAcentral
GAUCAUGGCUCAGGAUGAACGCUAGCUACAGGCUUAACACAUGCAAGUCGAGGGGAAACGACAUCGAAAGCUUGCUUUUGAUGGGCGUCGACCGGCGCACGGGUGAGUAACGCGUAUCCAACCUGCCCAUCACUUGGGAAUAACCCUGCGAAAGUAAGACUAAUGCCCAAUGAUAUCCCACGAAGGCAUCCGAAUGGGAUUAAAAGAUUUAAUCGGUGAUGGAUGGGGAUGCGU